This 567-nucleotide ribosomal RNA is filed under the name uncultured Actinomycetes bacterium. RNAcentral's name for it is "bacterial SSU rRNA". It matches the Rfam family "Bacterial small subunit ribosomal RNA", at positions 338 to 916 of the family's 1533-position model. Lineage: Bacteria; Bacillati; Actinomycetota; Actinomycetes. The record is from RNAcentral.
CCUACGGGAGGCAGCAGUGGGGAAUAUUGGGCAAUGGGCGCAAGCCUGACCCAGCGACGCCGCGUGAGGGAAGAAGGCCUUCGGGUUGUAAACCUCUUUCAGCAGGGAAGAAGCGAAAGUGACGGUACCUGAAGAAGAAGCACCGGCUAACUAUGUGCCAGCAGCCGCGGUAAUACAUAGGGUGCAAGCGUUGUCCGGAAUUAUUGGGCGUAAAGAGCUCGUAGGCCGUUUGCCACGUCGAUUGUGAAAAUCUGAGGCUCAACCUCAGACCUGCAGUCGAUACGGGCAAACUAGAGUGUGGUAGGGGAGACUGGAAUUCCUGGUGUAGCGGUGGAAUGCGCAGAUAUCAGGAGGAACACCAAUGGCGAAGGCAGGUCUCUGGGCCAUAACUGACACUGAGGAGCGAAAGCGCGGGGAGCGAACAGGAUUAGAUACCCUGGUAGUCCGCGCCGUAAACGGUGGGCACUAGUUGUUGGAACCUUCCACGGUUUCGGCGACGUCGCAAACGCAAUAAGUGCCCCGCCUGGGGAGUACGAUCGCAAGAUUAAAACUCAAAGGAAUUGACGG